Molecule: ribosomal RNA, 479 nt
Filed under: uncultured bacterium
Lineage: Bacteria
Description: partial 16S ribosomal RNA
Rfam family: Bacterial small subunit ribosomal RNA
Source: RNAcentral
GAUGAACGCUCGCGGGAGGCCUAACACAUGCAAGCCGAGCGGUAUUGUUUCUUCGGAAAUGCGAGAGCGGCGUACGGGUGCGUAACACGUGUGCAACCUGCCUUUAUCUGGGGGAUAGCCUUUCGAAAGGAAGAUUAAUACUCCAUAAUAUAUUGAACGGCAUCGUUUAAUAUUGAAAGCUCCGGCGGAUAGAGAUGGGCACGCGCAAGAUUAGCUAGUUGGUGAGGUAACGGCUCACCAAGGCGAUGAUCUUUAGGGGGCCUGAGAGGGUGAUCCCCCACACUGGUACUGAGACACGGACCAGACUCCUACGGGAGGCAGCAGUGAGGAAUAUUGGUCAAUGGGUGCAAGCCUGAACCAGCCAUCCCGCGUGAAGGACGACUGCCCUAUGGGUUGUAAACUUCUUUUGUAUAGGGAUAAACCUACCCUCGAGAGGGUAGCUGAAGGUACUAUACGAAUAAGCACCGGCUAACUCCGUG